RNAcentral lists this ribosomal RNA (510 nucleotides) under uncultured bacterium. Its description in RNAcentral is "partial 16S ribosomal RNA". It matches the Rfam family "Bacterial small subunit ribosomal RNA", at positions 28 to 523 of the family's 1533-position model. The record is from RNAcentral.
GACGAACGCUGGCGGCGUGCCUAAUACAUGCAAGUCGAGCGAAUGACGAGAAGCUUGCUUCUCUGAUUUAGCGGCGGACGGGUGAGUAACACGUGGGCAACCUGCCCUGCAGAUCGGGAUAACUCAGGGAAACCUGGGCUAAUACCGGAUAAUCCUUCGAAUCACAUGUUUUGAAGUUGAAAGGCGCUUCGGCGUCACUGUAGGAUGGGCCCGCGGUGCAUUAGCUAGUUGGUGGGGUAACGGCCUACCAAGGCAACGAUGCAUAGCCGACCUGAGAGGGUGAUCGGCCACAUUGGGACUGAGACACGGCCAAAACUCCUACGGGAGGCAGCAGUAGGGAAUCUUCCACAAUGGACGAAAGUCUGAUGGAGCAACGCCGCGUGAGUGAUGAAGGUUUUCGGAUCGUAAAACUCUGUUGUAAGGGAAGAACAAGUACGUUAGGAAAUGAACGUACCUUGACGGUACCUUAUUAGAAAGCCACGGCUAACUACGUGCCAGCAGCCGCCGUAA